This 1104-nucleotide ribosomal RNA is filed under the name Triticum aestivum (bread wheat). RNAcentral's name for it is "partial small subunit ribosomal RNA". The record is from RNAcentral. Lineage: Eukaryota; Viridiplantae; Streptophyta; Magnoliopsida; Poales; Poaceae.
AUGCCGGGUGUCCCGAGGGAACUCGCUGAGCACACUCUUAAUAUCGAUCCAAAGUUCAAACCUGUCAGACAGUUUCUCCGAUGGUUCAAUGAAGAAAGGCGCAAGGCCAUCGGAGAAGAGGUGGCCCGGCUCUUGGCAGCCAGGUUCAUUUUGGAGGUCUUUCACCCAGAAUGGUUAGCUAACCCGGUCCUUGUACUAAAAAAGAAUGGCACCUGGUGUAUGUGUGUGGAUUACACAGAUUUGAACAAGGCUUGUCUGGCUGAUCCUUUUGCUCUCCCCUGUAUUGACCAGAUCAUUGAUGCUACGGCGGGUUGCGCUCGCUUGAGUUUCUUAGAUGCUUAUUCCGGUUAUCAUCAGAUUAAGAUGGCUGUCAAGGAUCAAGAGAAGACAACUUUUAUAACUCCUUUUGGAGCUUUCUGCUAUGUGUCUAUGCCUUUUGGGCUUAAGAGUGCCCAUGCGACUUACCAGCGGUGUGUGCAGAAUUGUCUUCACGAUCAAACUGGGCGCAAUGUUCAUGCUUAUGUGGAUGAUAUAGUGGUGAAAUCCAGGGAAGAGGAAACCUUGGUCACAGACCUGAAAGAGACUUUUGAUAAUCUUCGGGUUUACAAGAUGAUGCUUAACCCGGCCAAGUGUAUUUUUGGAGUGCCAGCCGGCAAGCUUUUGGGUUUUUUGGUGUCUAACCGAGGUAUUGAAGCUAACCCGGAGAAAAUCAAGGCAAUCACAUCUCUAGCCAAACCAACCUGCAUCAAUGAUGUUCAGCGACUGGCGGGUCGUGUGGCUGCUUUGAGCCGGUUCAUAAGCCGGUUAGGGGAAAAGGCUAUGCCUCUGUAUCAGUUGAUGAAGAAAACGGAUGUUUUUGUUUGGAGCGAUGCUGCGAACGCUGCUUUUGAGGAUCUGAAGGCACAGCUAGCUGAGCCACCGGUCUUGGCUGCUCCAAUUGAGAAAGAGCCGCUAUUGUUAUACGUAGCUGCCAACUCAUGGGCUGUUAGUGUGGCUAUUGUGGUAGAGUUCCAGGAGGUUGGCAAAGAGCAUCCAGUUCAGCGAUGGGUUUAUUAUGUCAGUGAAGUGCUAAUUGAGUCUAAACAACGAUAUCCACAUUGGUAG